This 508-nucleotide ribosomal RNA is filed under the name uncultured bacterium. Its description in RNAcentral is "bacterial SSU rRNA". It matches the Rfam family "Bacterial small subunit ribosomal RNA", at positions 8 to 526 of the family's 1533-position model. The record is from RNAcentral.
AGAGUUUGAUCAUGGCUCAGGACGAACGCUGGCGGCGUGCUUAACACAUGCAAGUCAAGGGGGCCCAGCAAUGGGCAACCGGCGAACGGGUGCGUAACACGUGAGCAACCUACCGAACUGUGGGGGAUAGCCGGCCUAACGGCCGAGUAAUACCGCAUACGCUUUCGAUGAGGCAUUUCAUUGAAAGGAAACCUACGGGACAGAUCGAGGGGCUCGCGGCCUAUCAGCUAGUUGGCGAGGUAACGGCUCACCAAGGCGACGACGGGUAGCUGGUCUGAGAGGAUGGCCAGCCACAUUGGGACUGAGAUACGGCCCAGACUCCUACGGGAGGCAGCAGUGGGGAAUCUUGCGCAAUGGCCUAACGGCUGACGCAGCGACGCCGCGUGUGGGAUGAAGCUCCUCGGAGUGUAAACCACUGUUGCCCGGGACGAAUAGCUCGAUUAAUCGAGCCUGACGGUACCGGGUGAGGAAGCACCGGCUAACUCCGUGCCAGCCGCCGCGGUAAUAC